GGAUAGCCACUAGAAAUGGUGGGUAAUACUGUAUAAUCCCUGCGGGGGAAAGAUUUAUCGCUAUUAGAUGAGCCUAUGUUAGAUUAGCUAGUUGGUAGGGUAAAGGCCUACCAAGGCGAUGAUCUAUAGCUGGUCUGAGAGGAUGAUCAGCCACACUGGAACUGAGAUACGGUCCAGACUCCUACGGGAGGCAGCAGUGGGGAAUAUUGGACAAUGGGCGCAAGCCUGAUCCAGCUAUGCCGCGUGAGUGAGGAAGGCCUUAGGGUUGUAAAACUCUUUCAGUAGGGAAGAUAAUG
Molecule: ribosomal RNA, 296 nt
Filed under: Anaplasma phagocytophilum
Lineage: Bacteria; Pseudomonadati; Pseudomonadota; Alphaproteobacteria; Rickettsiales; Anaplasmataceae
Description: partial 16S ribosomal RNA
Rfam family: Bacterial small subunit ribosomal RNA
Source: RNAcentral